Molecule: ribosomal RNA, 317 nt
Filed under: uncultured Pseudomonas sp.
Lineage: Bacteria; Pseudomonadati; Pseudomonadota; Gammaproteobacteria; Pseudomonadales; Pseudomonadaceae
Description: bacterial SSU rRNA
Rfam family: Bacterial small subunit ribosomal RNA
Source: RNAcentral
CGUGAGAUUGGUUGGUUAACGUCCCGUAAGAGCGCAACCUUGUCCUUAGUUACCAGCACGUUAUGGUGGGCACUCUAAGGAGACUGCCGGUGACAAACCGGAGGAAGGUGGGAUGACGUCAAGUCAUCAUGGCCCUUACGGCCUGGGCUACACACGUGCUACAAUGGUCGGUACAAAGGGUUGCCAAGCCGCGAGGUGGAGCUAAUCCCAUAAAACCGAUCGUAGUCCGGAUCGCAGUCUGCAACUCGACUGCGUGAAGUCGGAAUCGCUAGUAACCGCAGAUCAGCUACGUUGCGGUGAAUACGUUCCCGGGCCUU